This is a long non-coding RNA of Daphnia magna, 557 nucleotides long. RefSeq lists it as uncharacterized. The transcript has 3 exons. NCBI's taxonomy places the organism in Eukaryota, Metazoa, Arthropoda, Branchiopoda, Diplostraca, Daphniidae. The record is from RefSeq and is a predicted model, not a curated record.
UUUCGAGAAGGAAGGCUAUGAGGGAAACCACUAUUUUCGUUUGCGUGUGUUUAGGGAUGGAGCCAUUCAGUCCUAGUAGAGUUGGUACGUCGAACGGGAUGUUGAGGGGGAUGAGUUUCCUUUCGAGUUUGUCCCUCGCUUCAGAAUAUUCUUGGCAGUAGAGGAGUAUAUGUGUCGCGUCUUCUUGUUCUGGGCACCCGUGAGGACAUUCAUCUGGUAUUUCGGGGUCCAAUCUGCUCAUGAAGUGGUUUAGUUUAUUGUGCCCGCUGCGUAACCGAAGCAUUGCUGUUUGGAUAUUUCGUUUCUUGUUAAUGUGCCAAGGUCCUUUUUUGUUUUUUUCGGAUUUCGGUGGCCAGUUGGUCAGCAAUUUCGUUUCCUGGUAUCCCAGCAUGUGAAGGUACAGCUGGACUUGCUUCCCAUUUGAAAUUUGAAAUUGCUUGAACAGCUGAUUUGGAAUCAGUGUAGGGAGUCGAGUAAAAAAGAAAAAGGUGUAUGACUCUGAAUUGGAGCAGCCCCUCAAAAAAAAAGAGAAAAAAGCAACUAAGGUCGCAGAUCUG